RNAcentral lists this ribosomal RNA (737 nucleotides) under uncultured Corynebacterium sp. RNAcentral describes it as "bacterial SSU rRNA". It matches the Rfam family "Bacterial small subunit ribosomal RNA", at positions 28 to 776 of the family's 1533-position model. Lineage: Bacteria; Bacillati; Actinomycetota; Actinomycetes; Mycobacteriales; Corynebacteriaceae. The record is from RNAcentral.
GACGAACGCUGGCGGCGUGCUUAACACAUGCAAGUCGAACGGAAAGGCCUGCAGCUUGCUGCGGGUACUCGAGUGGCGAACGGGUGAGUAACACGUGGGUGAUCUGCCUUGCACUUCGGGAUAAGCUUGGGAAACUGGGUCUAAUACCGGAUAGGACAGCUGUUUAGUGUCAGUUGUGGAAAGUUUUUUCGGUGCAAGAUGAGCUCGCGGCCUAUCAGCUUGUUGGUGGGGUAAUGGCCUACCAAGGCGUCGACGGGUAGCCGGCCUGAGAGGGUGUACGGCCACAUUGGGACUGAGAUACGGCCCAGACUCCUACGGGAGGCAGCAGUGGGGAAUAUUGCACAAUGGGCGGAAGCCUGAUGCAGCGACGCCGCGUGGGGGAUGAAGGCCUUCGGGUUGUAGACUCCUUUCGACAGGGACGAAGCUUUUGUGACGGUACCUGUAUAAGAAGCACCGGCUAACUACGUGCCAGCAGCCGCGGUAAUACGUAGGGUGCGAGCGUUGUCCGGAAUUACUGGGCGUAAAGAGCUCGUAGGUGGUUUGUCGCGUCGUCUGUGAAAUUCCGGGGCUUAACUCCGGGCGUGCAGGCGAUACGGGCUGACUUGAGUGCUGUAGGGGAGACUGGAAUUCCUGGUGUAGCGGUGAAAUGCGCAGAUAUCAGGAGGAACACCGAUGGCGAAGGCAGGUCUCUGGGCAGUAACUGACGCUGAGGAGCGAAAGCAUGGGUAGCGAACAGG